GAUGAACGCUGGCGGCGUGCCUAAUACAUGCAAGUCGAGCGAACGGACCAUAAUCUUGCUUCUCUGAUGUUAGCGGCGCACGUGUGUGUAACACGUGGAUAACCUACCUAUAUUACUGGUAUAUCUUCGGGAAUCCGGAUCUAAUACCGUAUAAUAUUUUGAACCGUAUGGUUCAAUAGUGAAAGACGGUCUUGCUGUCACUUAUAGAUGGAUCCGCGCUGCAUUAGCUAGUUGGUAAGGUAACGGCUUACCAAGGCAACGAUGCAUAGCCGACGUGAGAGGGGGAUCGGCGACACGGGAAGUGAAACACGGACCAGACGACUACGGGAGGCAGCAGUAGGGAAUCUUCCGCAAUAGGCGAAAGCAUGACGGAGCAACGCGGCGUGAGUGAUGAAGGUCUUGGGAUCGUAAAACUCUGUUAUGAGGGAAGAACAGAUGUGUAAGUAACUGUGGAGAUCGUGACGGUAACUAAUCAGAAAGCAACGGCUAACUACGUG
RNAcentral lists this ribosomal RNA (497 nucleotides) under uncultured bacterium. RNAcentral's name for it is "partial 16S ribosomal RNA". It matches the Rfam family "Bacterial small subunit ribosomal RNA", at positions 28 to 507 of the family's 1533-position model. The record is from RNAcentral.